RNAcentral lists this ribosomal RNA (787 nucleotides) under Bacillus sp. NCCP-1123. RNAcentral describes it as "bacterial SSU rRNA". It matches the Rfam family "Bacterial small subunit ribosomal RNA", at positions 56 to 826 of the family's 1533-position model. The record is from RNAcentral. Lineage: Bacteria; Bacillati; Bacillota; Bacilli; Caryophanales; Bacillaceae.
UGCAGUCGAGCGGACAGAUGGGAGCUUGCUCCCUGAUGUUAGCGGCGGACGGGUGAGUAACACGUGGGUAACCUGCCUGUAAGACUGGGAUAACUCCGGGAAACCGGGGCUAAUACCGGAUGGUUGUUUGAACCGCAUGGUUCAGACAUAAAAGGUGGCUUCGGCUACCACUUACAGAUGGACCCGCGGCGCAUUAGCUAGUUGGUGAGGUAACGGCUCACCAAGGCGACGAUGCGUAGCCGACCUGAGAGGGUGAUCGGCCACACUGGGACUGAGACACGGCCCAGACUCCUACGGGAGGCAGCAGUAGGGAAUCUUCCGCAAUGGACGAAAGUCUGACGGAGCAACGCCGCGUGAGUGAUGAAGGUUUUCGGAUCGUAAAGCUCUGUUGUUAGGGAAGAACAAGUGCCGUUCAAAUAGGGCGGCACCUUGACGGUACCUAACCAGAAAGCCACGGCUAACUACGUGCCAGCAGCCGCGGUAAUACGUAGGUGGCAAGCGUUGUCCGGAAUUAUUGGGCGUAAAGGGCUCGCAGGCGGUUUCUUAAGUCUGAUGUGAAAGCCCCCGGCUCAACCGGGGAGGGUCAUUGGAAACUGGGGAACUUGAGUGCAGAAGAGGAGAGUGGAAUUCCACGUGUAGCGGUGAAAUGCGUAGAGAUGUGGAGGAACACCAGUGGCGAAGGCGACUCUCUGGUCUGUAACUGACGCUGAGGAGCGAAAGCGUGGGGAGCGAACAGGAUUAGAUACCCUGGUAGUCCACGCCGUAAACGAUGAGUGCUAAGUGUUAG